Molecule: ribosomal RNA, 429 nt
Filed under: Chloroflexota bacterium
Lineage: Bacteria; Bacillati; Chloroflexota
Description: Chloroflexi bacterium partial 16S ribosomal RNA
Rfam family: Bacterial small subunit ribosomal RNA
Source: RNAcentral
UGGGGAAUAUUGCACAAUGGGCGCAAGCCUGAUGCAGCCAUGCCGCGUGUAUGAAGAAGGCCUUCGGGUUGUAAAGUACUUUCAGCGGGGAGGAAGGGAGUAAAGUUAAUACCUUUGCUCAUUGACGUUACCCGCAGAAGAAGCACCGGCUAACUCCGUGCCAGCAGCCGCGGUAAUACGGAGGGUGCAAGCGUUAAUCGGAAUUACUGGGCGUAAAGCGCACGCAGGCGGUUUGUUAAGUCAGAUGUGAAAUCCCCGGGCUCAACCUGGGAACUGCAUCUGAUACUGGCAAGCUUGAGUCUCGUAGAGGGGGGUAGAAUUCCAGGUGUAGCGGUGAAAUGCGUAGAGAUCUGGAGGAAUACCGGUGGCGAAGGCGGCCCCCUGGACGAAGACUGACGCUCAGGUGCGAAAGCGUGGGGAGAAAACAGG